UCAAACUUGGUCAUUUAGAGGAAGUAAAAGUCGUAACAAGGUCUCCGUUGGUGAACCAGCGGAGGGAUCAUUAAUGAGUUAUACAACUCCAAACCCUAUGUGAACUUACCGUCGUUUCCUCGGCGUGUGCUGCGGUUACCCUGUAGCUACCCUGCAGCGCGCUACCCUGUAGCAGCAGCUCCCAGGUUAGCUACCCUGUAGCCGUCCCAAGGCCCGCCGCAGGACUGCCAAACUCUUGUUUUACCACUGUAUAUCUGAACGCUUAACUGAAAUAAGUUAAAACUUUCAACAACGGAUCUCUUGGUUCUGGCAUCGAUGAAGAACGCAGC
RNAcentral lists this unclassified non-coding RNA (329 nucleotides) under uncultured fungus. Its description in RNAcentral is "partial contains small subunit ribosomal RNA, internal transcribed spacer 1, and 5.8S ribosomal RNA". The stretch from base 1 to 73 matches the Rfam family "Eukaryotic small subunit ribosomal RNA", at positions 1759 to 1831 of the family's 1831-position model. Lineage: Eukaryota; Fungi. The record is from RNAcentral.